ACGAACGCUGGCGGCGUGCUUAACACAUGCAAGUCGAACGGAAAGGCCCUGCUUUUGUGGGGUGCUCGAGUGGCGAACGGGUGAGUAACACGUGAGUAACCUGCCCUUGACUUUGGGAUAACUUCAGGAAACUGGGGCUAACACCGGAUAGGAGCUCCCGCUGCAUGGUGGGGGUUGGAAAGUUUCGGCGGUUGGGGAUGGACUCGCGGCUUAUCAGCUUGUUGGUGGGGUAGUGGCUUACCAAGGCUUUGACGGGUAGCCG
This 262-nucleotide ribosomal RNA is filed under the name uncultured bacterium. RNAcentral's name for it is "partial 16S ribosomal RNA". It matches the Rfam family "Bacterial small subunit ribosomal RNA", at positions 29 to 289 of the family's 1533-position model. The record is from RNAcentral.